RNAcentral lists this ribosomal RNA (627 nucleotides) under uncultured bacterium. RNAcentral describes it as "bacterial SSU rRNA". It matches the Rfam family "Bacterial small subunit ribosomal RNA", at positions 338 to 957 of the family's 1533-position model. The record is from RNAcentral.
CCUACGGGAGGCAGCAGUGGGGAAUUUUGGACAAUGGGCGCAAGCCUGAUCCAGCAAUGCCGCGUGAGUGAAGAAGGCCUUCGGGUUGUAAAGCUCUUUUGUCAGGGAAGAAACGGUGAGGGCUAAUAUUCCUUGCUAAUGACGGUACCUGAAGAAUAAGCACCGGCUAACUACGUGCCAGCAGCCGCGGUAAUACGUAGGGUGCAAGCGUUAAUCGGAAUUACUGGGCGUAAAGCGUGCGCAGGCGGUUUUGUAAGUCUGUCGUGAAAUCCCCGGGCUCAACCUGGGAAUUGCGAUGGAGACUGCAAGGCUAGAAUCUGGCAGAGGGGGGUAGAAUUCCACGUGUAGCAGUGAAAUGCGUAGAGAUGUGGAGGAACACCGAUGGCGAAGGCAGCCCCCUGGGUCAAGAUUGACGCUCAUGCACGAAAGCGCGGGGAGCAAACAGGAUUAGAUACCCUGGUAGUCCACGCCCUAAACGAUGUCUACUAGUUGUCGGGUUUUAAUUAACUUGGUAACGCAGCUAACGCGUGAAGUAGACCGCCUGGGGAGUACGGUCGCAAGAUUAAAAACUCAAAAGAGUAGUAGACGUCGUAGAGAGUCGACGAGACACGACGGAGGGUUAGGAGG